GAUGAACGCUGGCGGCGUGCCUAAUACAUGCAAGUAGAACGCUGAAGGAGGAGCUUGCUCUUCUGGAUGAGUUGCGAACGGGUGAGUAACGCGUAGGUAACCUGCCUGGUAGCGGGGGAUAACUAUUGGAAACGAUAGCUAAUACCGCAUGACAACAGUUAUUGCAUGAUAACUGUUUAAAAGGGGCAACUGCUCCACUACCAGAUGGACCUGCGUUGUAUUAGCUAGUUGGUGAGGUAACGGCUCACCAAGGCGACGAUACAUAGCCGACCUGAGAGGGUGAUCGGCCACACUGGGACUGAGACACGGCCCAGACUCCUACGGGAGGCAGCAGUAGGGAAUCUUCGGCAAUGGACGGAAGUCUGACCGAGCAACGCCGCGUGAGUGAAGAAGGUUUUCGGAUCGUAAAGCUCUGUUGUAAGAGAAGAACGAGUGUGAGAGUGGAAAGUUCACACUGUGACGGUAUCUUACCAGAAAGGGACGGCCAACUACGUG
RNAcentral lists this ribosomal RNA (495 nucleotides) under uncultured bacterium. Its description in RNAcentral is "partial 16S ribosomal RNA". It matches the Rfam family "Bacterial small subunit ribosomal RNA", at positions 28 to 507 of the family's 1533-position model. The record is from RNAcentral.